UACGGGGGGGGUAAGCGUUGUUCGGAAUUACUGGGCGUAAAGGGCUCGUAGGCGGCCAACUAAGUCAUACGUGAAAUCCCUCAGCUUAACUGGGGAACUGCGUGUGAUACUGGAUGGCUUGGAUUUGGGAGAGGGAUGCGGAAUUCCAGGUGUAGCGGUGAAUUGCGUAGAUAUCUGGAGGAACACCGGUGGCGAAGGCGGCAUCCUGGACCAAUAUUGACGCUGAGGAGCGAAAGCCAGGGGAGCAAACGGG
RNAcentral lists this ribosomal RNA (253 nucleotides) under uncultured bacterium. RNAcentral's name for it is "partial 16S ribosomal RNA". It matches the Rfam family "Bacterial small subunit ribosomal RNA", at positions 524 to 776 of the family's 1533-position model. The record is from RNAcentral.